GCGGAGGAAAAGAAACCAACAGGGAUUGCCUUAGUAGCGGCGAGUGAAGCGGCAAAAGCUCAAAUUUGAAAUCUGGCUCUUUCAGAGUCCGAGUUGUAAUUUGAAGAAGGUAUCUUUGGGUCUGGCUCUUGUCUAUGUUUCUUGGAACAGAACGUCACAGAGGGUGAGAAUCCCGUGCGAUGAGAUGAUCCAGGCCUAUGUAAAGUUCCUUCGAAGAGUCGAGUUGUUUGGGAAUGCAGCUCUAAGUGGGUGGUAAAUUCCAUCUAAAGCUAAAUAUUGGCGAGAGACCGAUAGCGAACAAGUACAGUGAUGGAAAGAUGAAAAGAACUUUGAAAAGAGAGUGAAAAAGUACGUGAAAUUGUUGAAAGGGAAGGGCUUGAGAUCAGACUUGGUAUUUUGUAUGUUACUUCUUCGGGGGUGGCCUCUACAGUUUAUCGGGCCAGCAUCAGUUUGGGCGGUAGGAGAAUUGCGUUGGAAUGUGGCACGGCUUCGGUUGUGUGUUAUAGCCUUCGUCGAUACUGCCAGCCUAGACUGAGGACUGUGGUUUAUACCCAGCACGUUGGUAUAAUGAUCUUAACUCUUUCGCCCUGAUUUACG
Molecule: ribosomal RNA, 597 nt
Filed under: Candida tropicalis
Lineage: Eukaryota; Fungi; Ascomycota; Pichiomycetes; Serinales; Debaryomycetaceae
Description: eukaryotic LSU rRNA
Rfam family: Eukaryotic large subunit ribosomal RNA
Source: RNAcentral